AGAGUUUGAUCCUGGCUCAGGAUGAACGCUGGCGGUAUGCUUAACACAUGCAAGUCGAACGGGAUAGCAAUAUCUAGUGGCGGACGGGUGAGUAACGCGUAAGAAUCUACCUACAGGACGGGGAUAACGUUGGGAAACUGACGCUAAAACCCGAUGUGCCGAGUGGUGAAAUAUUUAUAGCCUGUAGAUGAGCUUGCGUCUGAUUAGCUAGUUGGAGUGGUAACGGCACACCAAGGCGACAAUCAGCAACUGGUCUGAGAGGAUGACCAGUCACACUAGAACUGAGACACGGUCCAGACUCCUACGGGAGGCAGAAGUGGGGAAUUUUCCGCAAUGGGCGCAGGCCUGACGGAGCAAUACCGCGUGAGGGAUGAAGGUUCGUGGAUUGUAAACCUCUUUUUUCGGGGACGAUAAUGACGGUACCCUAAGAAUAAGCAUCGGCUAACUCCGUGCCAGCGCCGCGGUAAUAC
This 470-nucleotide ribosomal RNA is filed under the name uncultured bacterium. RNAcentral's name for it is "bacterial SSU rRNA". It matches the Rfam family "Bacterial small subunit ribosomal RNA", at positions 8 to 526 of the family's 1533-position model. The record is from RNAcentral.